Molecule: ribosomal RNA, 351 nt
Filed under: Triticum aestivum (bread wheat)
Lineage: Eukaryota; Viridiplantae; Streptophyta; Magnoliopsida; Poales; Poaceae
Description: partial small subunit ribosomal RNA
Source: RNAcentral
AUGAUAGAGUCUCCAAGUGAGGAAGAAUGGGAGAAGGCAAAAGCUAUUUGUGAGUUUCUAAAAGCUUUUGAAGAGCUUGCAUUGAUUGUUUCAGCUCACAGGAAGCCAACUUCACAUAAGUUUCUGCCAGUUGUGCUUUCUAUUUGCCAUGCAUUGAAAGAUCCGGGUUGUCAGACCUCUGAUGUGUUGAAGGAAUUGGCGGCAGUGAUGCAAACGAAGCUCGAUAAAUAUUGGGAUCCCGAGGAGAAGGAGAAUGCAGAUCCUAACCAUCGUAGAAAAAGCAAGGGCAAUGAGUUUAACCAUGCACUUGUCAUUGCUACAUUCCUGGAUCCAAGGAGGAAAGAAGAUUAA